Long non-coding RNA from Triticum aestivum (bread wheat), 1942 nucleotides. RefSeq lists it as uncharacterized. Lineage: Eukaryota; Viridiplantae; Streptophyta; Magnoliopsida; Poales; Poaceae. The transcript is spliced from 6 exons. The record is from RefSeq and is a predicted model, not a curated record.
UCUCGUUCCCCUCCCUCUCGCGUGCCUCCUCUCCUCCCGCCUCGCCGCCGCCUCCUGUCCCCUCCCGCGCCCACCUCCCUGCCCUGCCGCCAGCGCCGCCGCCGCCGCUUGCCCGGGCAGGCCCGUGGCUGGAUGAGACGAGGGAGGGAGCCUAUCUCUCGCGCAGCCGUCGCUCUUGCUCCUCUGGGCCUCUGCUCCGGCCCGAGCCGCCCCUGCUCCUCUGCGCUUCCCUGCUCCACGUGUGAUCAUACUGGCCCUCUCCUUGUGCUAGCCCCUUGCGGCCGUGAAGGGCGGCGGAGCCCUCAGGAGCGGCGGCGGCGGAGCCAUCAGAAGUGUGGCAAGGUCUUGCGUGAAGGUCAUCCUCCUACAUCGCUCUGUCACACACUUUGAUUUGAGUUAGAACAGAGGAACCCAGAUUUCUUUGCGUCACCUCGCCCCUCUGUGUUACCUUGCCCCAGGACCCUGAAAUCUCAGGACCGGCCCUGUGAGCACGCCAUGGAUUUCUCUGAUCCGCGAUGGUCGCCGUCGGCAAUGCUCACACCUGGUCUGCUCUUCUCUUGUGGAUGUGCAGGAAGAAAAGGGCCAUUGGAUUGUACGGGAAGAACGGGAUGUUGUUCUUUGCUGCUCGACCACAUUGCCGCUGAACCAUUUCUCCUGCCAGUCCCUUCAAUGUCCCUCAAAGUCUGCAGAAUCUCACCAUUUGUGUUUGCUUAGCCAUCCUACGAAGGUGCUCUGUUCAACUUGGCCUCUGUGUGACGAACAUCGAACCAAUGAUGCAUUUGUAUCUCCUUUGGCUGGAUACAAAGUUCCAUAUUCCGGGAAGAAGGGCUUAAAUGAUGCAUGUGGAUAAUUGAAGGGCCGCAUUAAUAGGCCUUUUCUAUUUGGUCAUUUGAUUGCACCAAAGAUUUAUUAUUUUCCACUGCUUAAGGGCACAACCAAUGAGGCAAUUUCUGGAGCCAACAACGACCUAGCUGGACACCGGGCUCUCUCAGAGUUUAGCGACUGGUGGCCGUCAGAUCGUUUUGCUUGAUGCGAUCUGGGCCGUCGGAUCAUGCCACCGGAUGACCUCGACCGUCGGAUCUGGGAGCGACACUGUAGGAAUGAAUAGAUACUCUUCCCCCGCGAUCUGGCUCACUCCGUGAUUUUGGCUGUGCCUCGUUGGCGUGUGGGGUCUCUCGCUGGCGGGCCCCACAUGUCAUUUGCUAUGGCUGGGGCAGGCCCCGUGCGGCCGGUCGGCGCUCUCCAGAGGCAAAAGAUAUCAUGCCACCGCUGAAAUUCUUGUCCCCUGCCGAGGGCAUUUUUGGUUUUUCGUGUCGCCGGCACCAAAUGCCUUGCCCCGAUUUGUGGCCUCUUCUCCAAUCGGGUGACAAAGCUAGGGUUCAGUCUUCUCCUCUCACCUCCGUCUUCUCGUGCGCAGUCAUCCUUGCUCCUCUUCUCUCCGGCCCGAGCGGCCGCCUCCGGCGGCCACUAGCUCGUUGCCCCGGUCAUAUCCGCGACUAGAGUUUCUCUUAGCUGGCGAGGGGCUAUGAUGAUCGGUUUUUGCUGAUAUAAGCAUGCUCUCGAGCAAUCGAGGCACUUGUGGGUAUUAAGUUGGACCCCCUCUUUUCUUUGUGCCGUUUUGAUCAUGUGCUUAUUUUAGUGGCUCUGUCCUUGGAUGGUCAUUUCUGAUGAGUGAUAACCAAGGCAGUUCCACCCUUGUAAGAACAGAUUGAUCUGGUGAUGGAGACAUUAGGGGAAGGGUCAUGAUCGAGCAAAGCCGAAUCUGAGCCCAGUCGAAUGCAGUUCUGGUCUCAAGCACAGUGUGCUAUGUUGUUGCCAUUCUGUAAUUGUAUUUAGCGCCUCUUUGGUUUGCAGGAAUUUAAGAACACACUGAAGGAAAAAAAAUGAAUGAUUGCAUUGUUAGGGCGUCUCCAUCGGUGACCCCGAAAGUUCUAUCCGCAAA